This is a non-coding RNA of Globicephala melas (long-finned pilot whale), 656 nucleotides long. Lineage: Eukaryota; Metazoa; Chordata; Mammalia; Artiodactyla; Delphinidae. The record is from RefSeq and is a predicted model, not a curated record.
UUUAUGAACCCAAUCCUUACAUCUUCCCAUACUUAGAAAACACUAAAAGCAUUCAGAUUUUUGUGCCUUGUGACCAGCAGUAACUUGUACCAAGAUGUGUGCUUGACUGCACCUGUCCCUUCUCCAAAAUCACAGGAGCAGGGCUUCCCUGGUGGCGCAGUGGUUGAGAGUCCGCCUGCCGAUGCAGGGGACACGGGUUCGUGCCCCGGUCCGGGAAGAUCCCACAUGCCGCGGAGCUGCUGGGCCCGUGAGCCAUGGCCGCUGAGCCUGCGCGUCCGGAGCCUGUGCUCCGCAACGGGAGAGGCCGCAACGAUACUGAAACCCCCAGGUGGAAUAAGUUAACUACCUGAUGACCAGGCUGUAGCCAUGACAUAAGCUGCCACCAUUCUGAGGACCGGCCUCAAAGAAAUGGGAACAAACUGACCCUGGAACUAAAGACUAACUGCAUUUAAAGCAAUCGAGAUGACGCUGGUCAGACCACUGCAUGACUGAUUUCAAGAGGCCUGUGAGAGCUGACUGUGACUGUGCUGUUUCUGCAGAUUACAUAAUGAAAAUGCCUGUUAGCCUUCAGCUGGACGUGUUUUUUCCUAAUUAGUCAACUCUGCACACUUGGCUUCACCUACAAUGGAUGAGCACCUUUGGUGUGCAAGGCCUUC